UACGUAGGGGGCAAGCGUUAUCCGGAUUCAUUGGGCGUAAAGCGCGCGCAGGCGGGCCGCUAAGCGGGACCUCUAAUCUUGGGGCUCAACCUCAAGCCGGGUCCCGAACUGGCAGCCUCGAGUGCGGUAGGGGUAAGCGGAAUUCCCGGUGUAGCGGUGGAAUGCGCAGAUAUCGGGAAGAACACCGAUGGCGAAGGCAGCUUACUGGGCCGACACUGACGCUGAGGCGCGAAAGCUAGGGGAGCGAACAG
This 251-nucleotide ribosomal RNA is filed under the name uncultured bacterium. RNAcentral's name for it is "partial 16S ribosomal RNA". It matches the Rfam family "Bacterial small subunit ribosomal RNA", at positions 524 to 775 of the family's 1533-position model. The record is from RNAcentral.